Molecule: ribosomal RNA, 501 nt
Filed under: uncultured bacterium
Lineage: Bacteria
Description: partial 16S ribosomal RNA
Rfam family: Bacterial small subunit ribosomal RNA
Source: RNAcentral
GAUGAACGCUAGCGGCAGGCUUAAUACAUGCAAGUCGAGGGGCAGCACAGAUAGCAAUAUUGGGUGGUGACCGGCAAACGGGUGCGGAACACGUACACAACCUUCCUUUUAGUGUGGGAUAGCCCAGAGAAAUUUGGAUUAAUACCACAUAGUAUAUUGGAGUGGCAUCACUUUGAUAUUAAAGAUUUAUCGCUAAAAGAUGGGAGUGCGUAGUAUUAGGUAGUUGGUAGAGGUAACGGCUCACCAAGCCUUCGAUCAUUAACUGGUGUGAGAGCACGACCAGUCACACGGGCACUGAGACACGGGCCCGACUCCUACGGGAGGCAGCAGUAAGGAAUAUUGGUCAAUGGACGGAAGUCUGAACCAGCCAUGCCGCGUGAAGGAUGAUGGCCCUCUGGGUUGUAAACUUCUUUUAUGUGGGACGAAAAAGGGCCAUUUUUGGUCAACUGACGGUACCAUAGGAAUAAGCACCGGCUAACUCCGUGCCAGCCGCCGCCGUAA